RNAcentral lists this ribosomal RNA (429 nucleotides) under Verrucomicrobiota bacterium. RNAcentral describes it as "Verrucomicrobia bacterium partial 16S ribosomal RNA". It matches the Rfam family "Bacterial small subunit ribosomal RNA", at positions 355 to 776 of the family's 1533-position model. Lineage: Bacteria; Pseudomonadati; Verrucomicrobiota. The record is from RNAcentral.
UGGGGAAUCUUCCGCAAUGGGCGCAAGCCUGACGGAGCAAUGCCGCGUGAGUGAAGAAGGCCUUCGGGUUGUAAAACUCUGUCCUCAUCCAAGAGAAGGAAAGGUAGUAACUGACCUUUCCAGGACGGUAGAUGAGGAGGAAGCCCCGGCUAACUAUGUGCCAGCAGCCGCGGUAAAACAUAGGGGGCAAGCGUUGUCCGGAAUCACUGGGCGUAAAGGGCGCGCAGGCGGUCUGUUAAGUCAGAUGUGAAAGGUUAGGGCUCAACCCUGAACGUGCAUCUGAUACUGGCAGACUUGAGUGCAGGAGAGGAAAGUGGAAUUCCCAGUGUAGCGGUGAAAUGCGUAGAUAUUGGGAGGAACACCAGUAGCGAAGGCGGCUUUCUGGACUGCAACUGACACUGAGGCACGAAAGCGUGGGUAGCAAACAGG